UUCCGGUUGAUCCCGCCGGACCUGACUGCUAUCGGAUUGAUACUAAGCCAUGCGAGUCAUUGUAGUAAUACAAGGCAGACGGCUCAGUAACGCGUAGUCAACCUACCCUAUGGACGUGGAUAACCUCGGGAAACUGAGAAUAAUACACGAUAGAACAUUAUGCCUGGAAUGGUUUAUGUUCCAAAUGAUUUAUCGCCGUAGGAUGGGACUGCGGCCUAUCAGUUUGUUGGUGAGGUAAUGGCCCACCAAGACUAUUACAGGUACGGGCUCUGAGAGGAGUGGCCCGGAGAUGGGUACUGAGACACGGACCCAGGCCCUAUGGGGCGCAGCAGGCGAGAAAACUUUGCAAUGUGCGAAAGCACGACAAGGUUAAUCCGAGUGGUUUCUGCUAGAGGAACCUUUUGACAGUCCUAGAAACACUGUUGAAUAAGGGGUGGGCAAGUUCUGGUGUCAGCCGCCGCGGUAAAACCAGCACCUCAAGUUGUCAGGAUGAUUAUUGGGCCUAAGGCAUCCGUAGCCGGCUCUGUUAGUUUUCGGUUAAAUCUGUACGCUUAACGUACAGGCUGCCGGGAAUACUGCAGAGCUAGGGAGUGGGAGAGGUAGACGGUACUCGGUAGGAAGGGGUAAAAUCCUUUGAUCUAUUGAUGACCACCUGUGGCGAAGGCGGUCUACCAGAACACGUCCGACGGUGAGGGAUGAAAGCUGGGGGAGCAAACCGGAUUAGAUACCCGGGUAGUCCCAGCUGUAAACUAUGCAAACUCAGUGAUGCAUUGGCUUGUGGCCAAUGCAGUGCUGCAGGGAAGCCGUUAAGUUUGCCGCCUGGGAAGUACGUACGCAAGUAUGAAACUUAAAGGAAUUGGCGGGGCAGCAC
This 871-nucleotide ribosomal RNA is filed under the name uncultured crenarchaeote. RNAcentral's name for it is "bacterial SSU rRNA". It matches the Rfam family "Archaeal small subunit ribosomal RNA", at positions 1 to 879 of the family's 1478-position model. Lineage: Archaea; Thermoproteati; Thermoproteota. The record is from RNAcentral.